RNAcentral lists this long non-coding RNA (12606 nucleotides) under Homo sapiens (human). Its description in RNAcentral is "non-protein coding lnc-PLA2G1B-2:3". The stretch from base 11119 to 11259 matches the Rfam family "U4 spliceosomal RNA". The record is from RNAcentral. Lineage: Eukaryota; Metazoa; Chordata; Mammalia; Primates; Hominidae.
GCUGGUAAUGGUCACACUAGGUGGCGUCCGCGUGAGGUGGAGGUGUCAGCGGCUCCUGUCUGCAGCUUCCUGGGGUCCUGGCGGCGCUCUUCUCCUGAGCCAGAAUCCAGCAGGAAGGACAGAAUGGGCGCUAGAGUGUGAAAAGAGGGCGAACUCACGUGGAUGUGACUCUCCGGGUCGCUCUUCCCUGUCACCCAGCUCCUCCUGCCGGUUUCCUGUGGGCAUCGCCUGCAUUGCUUUUAUCCCGGGGACGGAUUAGGGGGGUCCAGAGGAGGACUUGCUGGCACAAAUAACCCAAUGGAGGCUUUCGAGCACGGCUGGCUGGGGUUUGCGAUCCAACGGCCUUUUGCUGACCUGAAAGUCAACGCAAAGCUCAUCUUCAUUCUAGAGAAAAAGAAGCCUCAUAUCUGAGAUCAGGACCCCGCUUUCUCCUUGACAUUCCACAGCAAAACGUGAACAGCUGAACAAACACACAGUCCGGUUUCCCGAGACCAAAGGGUCAGGGGAAACCCCCGCUGAAAACGUGCAUCAGUGGAACAACUACUCUCUUCCAGGUCCCACCGAGGGCAAAGAGGAGAAAUAGAAUCCCUCACAAGAAAUCCACAACUUCUAGAAAUCCGCAGCACACACAGAACACACUUACCUCUCACAGCUCUACGGACACUUCACACCCCACAGUGGGACCGUCUGAUUGCAUUUGCAUUUUGGGACAUGUAGUCCAGAAAGCUUAAAUGAUGCGAGAAAAACCACAAGUCCCACAAUCCUCCGCGUCUCGCAAUUGACAGCCCCAGAUCAUCCAGGAACGCCCCCUGUCGGCUCUUUCUGGUCAGAGGUUCCCCCGUUAAUAUAAAAGCUUUUAAUCAUGGAUUUUUUUCUUUGUUUUCAAUUUCUGUGGGCACUUAGUAGGUGUAUAUAUUUAUAGUGUACAUAAGAUUUUUUUUCUUUUUUCUUUUUUUUUUUUAAGACGGAGUUGUUGUUUUUUUUUUUUGAAAAAACUCCAGUCUGGAGUGCAGUGGCACGAUCUCGGCUCACUGCAACCUCCCUCUCCCGGGUUCAACCGAUUCUCCUGCCUCAGCCUCCCGAGUAGCUGGGAUUAUUUUUGUAUUUUUAGUAGAGACGGGGGUUUCGCCAUGUUGGCCAGGCUCGUCUUGAACUCCUAACCUCAGGUGAUCCGCACGCCUUGACCUCCCAAAGUGCUGGGAUUAUAGGCGUGAGCCACUGCGCCCGGCCAUCUUUUCUCUUAUUUUUUGUCUUUUUUUCUUUUCUCUGUGCCUGUCUAUGCUUUACCCACAUGAGAUGUUUUGAUACAAACAUGCAAUGUGAAAUGAGCACGUCAUUAAUCAUGGAUCUAGAUUUGACUUUUUUUUAAAGUUUUUGUAUUUUUAGUAGAGACAGAGUUUCACCAUGUUGGCCAGGCUGGUCUCGAACUCCCGACCUCAGGUGAUCCGCCAACCUCGGCCCCCCAAAAUGCUGGGAUUACAGGCCUGAGCCACUGUUCCCGGCCUAGAUUUGACUCAUUCUAAACAUCAGAGUUUGUGAUCCUUUUCAUUCACAACGACAGUAUCAAGUUAUUUGCUAUUGGUAAAAUACCUUGAACUUGUGAAGAAAUGUGUUUAUACAUAUCUGAAAAAGUGAUAGUUUGUUGUUGUUGUUGUUGUUGUUUGUUUGUUUGUUUUUGAGACGGAGUCUCGCUCUGUUGCCCAGGCUGGAGUGCAAUGGUGCCAUUUCGGCUCACUGCAACCUCCGCCUCCCGGGUUCAAGCAAUUCUCCUGCCUCAGCCUCCUGAGUAGCAGGGAUUAUGGGCGCAUGCCACUACGCCCGGUUAAUUUUUUUAUUUUUAGUAGAGACAAGGUUUCACCAUGUUAGCCAGGAUGGUCUUGAUCUCCUGACCUCGUGAUCUGCCCACCCUAGCCUCCCAAAGUACUGGGAUUACAGGCGUAAGCCACUGUGCCCAGCCAAAAGUGAUGUUUUUACAGUUAAUAUGAAGCCAAAUAUAUUAUACCUGGACUAAUGUACUUAACCUGCUUGGCUUCUCCAAUUUUAUUUAUCAUAUUUUUUUUAUUAAGUUAAUCAAACAAGGCCUGCGUCUCACUCCCAGGGAUUCUGAUCUACAAAUUUCCUAAUUGUUCCUAAUGUGUAGACAACCAGAACUGCCGCUCUGCAGCAUCACCUAAAUCAAUAAAUGUAUAAGUGUCUUUGGACAUAAAGGUGGGCGGCCAGCAGGGACCUUGAAGACCACCUAAGGACUCCCUUCCCCCAUUUUAAGAUGAAUUGGGCUGAGUGCAGUGGUUCCCACCUGUAAUACCAACACUUUGGGAGGCCAAGGCAGGAGGAUCACUUGAGCCCAAAAGUUCAAGACCAGCUUGGGCAACAUAGUGAGACCCACUCACUACAAAAAAUAAACAAAAUUAGCGGGGUGUGGUGGUGUGUGCCUGUAGUCCCAGCUACUCAAGAGGCUCAGGUGGGAGGAUCACUUUGAGCCCAGGAGAUCGAGGCUGCAGUGAGCCAUAAUUGUGCGACUGCACUUCAGCCUGGGUGACAAAGUGAGAUCCCAUCUCUUCAAAAAAUAAUAAUAAUAAAUAAAGAUGAACUGAAGUGCAGAGAAGUAAUGUGGAAGCUUGAGAAAGAGUUUUUAGGUUUUUGGUUCUAUCAUUGUAUCUUUGGAGGUAAUAUUGGCAAAAUGACCAUUUAGUAGUUUGCCCAUUUCUGCUUUUUUUUUUUCUUUUUUUUGAGACAGGGUCUCGUUCUGUCACCCAGGCUGGAGUGCAGUUGUGACAUCACAGCUCACUGCAGUUUCUACUUCCCAGGCCCAAGGGAUCCUCCAACCUCAUCCUCUCGAGUAGCUGAGAUCACAGGCAUCCACCACCACGCCCAGCUAAAUUUUGUUAUUUUUUAUUUUUGUCGAGACACGGUCUCACUAUGUUGCUCAGGCUGGUCUCAAACUCCUGAACUCAAGGAAAGCUCUUGCUUUGGCCUCCCAAAGUGCUGGGAUUACAGGUGUGAGCCACCAUGCCGGGCCUGCUUAUUUCGACUUGGCAGCAUCGUUUCAUGAAGCCCCUGACUCUGUGACAACAUACAGCUCUCCAGAAAGAUGCUUUGAAGACAAAACAGAAUAGAGCACACAGCCCUCCAUGUCUCUUCCAAGUCACUAUAUUCAUUAAAAGAUAAAUGACUCUGGUCAUUGCCUUUUCCUGCACAAGAUAAUGUCUGAUGGGGUUAGUGAUGAUACCUCUGUAAUCCAUAACCAGAUAUACUCUUGCACCCAAACUUUGAUAUGAUUGUGCUUUAAUGUAACUUUGAAGCAAGUUUAAUGUGAUUUUGCAGGCGCCGUACACUCACCACUUGUAUAUGAGUGGCUGAAAUUCUGUGUUGGACCAGUCUGAUGGAACUGCUCCCACACUAUAGCCCUCGGUCUGUAAUCCUCAGUAAGACUUGUAAGUAAAACUAACUUUAAUUUUUUUUUUUUUUUUUUGAGAGAGUCUAGCUCUGUUGCCCAGGCUGGAGUGCAGUGGCGCGAUCUUCACUCACUGAAGCCUCUGCCUUCCCGGCUGAAGUGAUUCUGCUGCCUCGGCCUCCGGAGUAGCUAGGAUUACAGGCGCUCGCCACUGCGCCCGGCUAAUUUUUGUAUUUUUAGUAGAGAUGGGGUUUCGUCAUGUUGGCCAGGCUGGUUUUGAACUCGUGACCUCAGGUGACCCACCUGCCUCAGUCUCCUAAAAUGCUAGGAUUACAGGAGUGAGCCACUGCACCCCGCCACUUUUAUUAUUAUUAUUAUUGUAUUUAUUUAUUUAUUUAUUUAUUUUUGAGACGGAGUCUCGCUCUGUCGCCCAGGCUGGAGUGUAGUGGAGAGAUCUCGGCCCACUACAAGCUCCGCCUCCCGGGUUCACGCGAUUCUCCUGCCUCAGCCUCCGGACUACAGGCGCCCGCCACCACACCCGGCUAAUUUUUUGUAUUUUUUUUUUAGUAGAGACGGGGUUUCACCGUGUUAGCCAGGAUGGUCUCUAUCUCUUGACCUCGUGAUCCGCCCGCCUCAGCCUCCCAAAGUACUGGGAUUACAGGCGUGAGCCACCGCGCCCGGCUAUUUAUUUAUUUAUUUAUUUAUUUAUUUAUUUAUUUUUUGAGACGGAAUAUUGCUCUGUGCCCAGGCUGGAGUGCAGUGGCACGAUCUCAGAUCACUGCAACCUCCGCCUCCCGGGUUCAAGUGAUUCUCCUGCCUCAGCCUCCCGAGUAGCUGGGAUUACGGGUGCCCGCCACCAUGCCCGGCUAAUUUUUGUAUUUUUAGUAGAGACGGGGUUUCACCAUGCUUGUCAGCAUGGUCUCGAACUCCUGACCUCGCGAUCCGCCCGCCUCAGCCUCCCAAAGUGCUGGAAUUACAGGCAUGAGCCACUGCGCCCUGCCACUUUAAUUAUUUAAAAGCUUAUUUUUUUAUUUUGGGGACAUGGUCUCACUCUUUCACCCAGGCGGGAGUUCAGAGGCACGAUCACUGCGCACUACAGCCUCAACCUCUUGGACUCAAACCAUCCUCCCACCUCAGCCUCCUGAGUAGCUGGGACUACAGGUGGGCCACCAAGCCCAGCUAAUUUUUGUAUUUUUUUGUAGAGACGGGGUUUCACCAUGUUGCCCAGGCUGGUCUCGAACUCCUGGGCUCUAGGCUUUCCAAAGUGUUGUGAUUACGGGCGUGAGCUACUGCGCCUGGCCGAUUCUUUUUAACUUAGUACACAGGGAGUAGUAGCUCCAGCAACAGCGAAAGUCAGUAGCUGUAGGAUCUACUAGGCGGGGAAACUCAUAUGACAGCCCCCUCCUUUUUUUUUUUUUUUUUUUUUUUUUUGAGAUGGAGUUUCACUCUUGUUGACCAGGCUGGAGUGCAAUGGCGCCAUCUUGGCUCACCGCAACCUCCGCCUCCCGGGUUCAAGUGAUUCUCCUGCCUCAGCCUCCCCAGUAUCUGGGAUUACAGGUGUGAGCCACUGCGCCCGGCCACCCCCUUUUUUUUUCAAGGCUGCAGUGAGCCAUGAUCCUGUGACUGCACUCCAGCCACUGACAGCCCUUUCUGCAUUAGUUAACCUGACCACAUCUGCUGAAAGAAAGCACCAGAAGCUAGACUGAAAUUUUCGUUGUCAAAAAAAUUAUAAUCCCCCCCAAAAUUUAAAAAUUAUAAUCCAGCACAUUUUCUGCACACAUUUUCUGGGUAUUUGAUCAUAACUUUUAAAAAUGUGAGAACAGUGACAUUCUCCUUCCCCAUUCACCAAUUUUACUAUGAAAAAGUUCAAACCUAGGUUAUUUUUUCAGUUCUCCAAGUGGAAUGAUCAUCACUAAUAGAGAUUGGUUGGGAAUUCUAUUGUGCUUCUAGGCCCCCAAAAAUCUCAUGCUCUGAGGAAAAGUUAGCUGAGUUUUCAAUUUUUCUCAUAGUGCUGGAAAAUCAUCCCUGGACGGUGAAGUCAUCCAAGUCUUUUUUGUUUUGUUUUGUUUUUUCUUUCUUUCUUUCUUUCUUUUUUAAUUUUUGUAUGCUUUGUUUCUAUUUCUUUUUUUUUUUGUCAUCCAAGUCAGCUGGUGAAACACACAAUUUCACUUGAUAGCUACUGAGAGAGUGUAAUGGGCCACCCAUUCUAGAAUUCUCAAGGGCUAGGAAGUUCCUUUGAUACCCUCAUGGGAUUAGGAUUAGGGCUUUAGUCUUUUUCUCUCUCUCUUUUUUUUUUUUUUUUUUUUUUUUUGAUUACAGGCGUGAGCCACCACACCAAGCCCCAUUAUUUAUUUAUUUUAUUUUAUGUAUGUAUGUAUGUAUGUAUGUAUGUAUUUAUUUAUUUUGAGACGGAGUCUCGCUCUAUCGCCCAGGCUGGAGUGCAGUGGCGCAAUCUAGGCUCACUGCAACCUCCGCCUACCGGGUUCAAGUGAUUCUCCUAUGUCAGCCUCCCAAGUAGCUGGGAUUAUAGGCGCCCGCCACCAUGCCCAGCUAAUUUUUGUAUUUUUAGUAGAGACGAGGUUUCACCAUCUUGGCCAGGCUGGUCUUGAACUCCUGACCUUGUGAUCCACCCGCCUCGGCCUCCCAAAGUGCUGGGAUUACAGGCGUGAGCCACCGUGCCUGGCCUAGUGUUUUUCUCACAACUCCACCCCAUCCAGAAUUAAUGACUAAAUCCUUGACUGGAUGAUCAAAGUAAAAGAAUCUAAAUUCACCACAUUGCUAGUCUUUUCUUUUUAUCCAGGCUGUGAAUUAAAUAAGAAAUCUGCUGCAGUGGCUCAUGCCUGUAAUCCCUCCCCUUGGGGAGGCCGAGGCGGGCGGAUCACUUGAGCCCAGGAGCUGGAGACCAGCAUGGGCAACAUGGUGAAACCCUGUAUCUACAAAAAAUACAGAAAAAUUAGCUGGGCAUGGUGGUGUGUGCCUGUAGUCCCAGCUACCUGGGAGGCUGAGGUGGGAAGAUCGCUUGAGCCCAGGAGAUUUAGGCUGCACUGAGCCGUGAUUGCACCCCUGCGCUCCAACCUAAGCGACUGAGAACAUGUCUCAAAAAAAAAAAAACAAAAAAAAAAACACAAAACAAGUUAGAAAUAAUCACAUAACACAUCAGCAUCAAACAGGCCUUUUAAAAUGUCGUUUUUGACCAUCCUGGCUAACACGGUGAAACCCCAUCUCUACUAAAAAUAGAAAAAAUUAGCCGGCCGUGGUGGCGGGCGCCUGUAGUCCCAGCUACUCGGGAGGCUGAGGCAGGAGAAUGGCGUGAACCCGGAAGGCGGAGCUCGCAGUGAGCCGAGAUUGCGCCACUGCACUCCAGCCUGGGCGACAGAGCGAGACUCCGUCUCAAAAAAAAAAAAUGUCAUUUUUGUAUAUGGAUGAUGAGUACAUGAAUGUUCACUGAGGAAUUCUUUGAACUUUUCGUGUUUACAAUUUUUUAUGAUAAAAUGUUGGGGGAAAUGUUACUUUCUUUUUUUUUUUUUUUUUUUUUUUUUUUGAGACGGAGUCUCGCUUUGUCACCCAGGCUGGAUUACAGUGGCAUGAUCUCAGCUCAUGGCAACCUCUACCUCCCAGGUUCAAGCGAUCCUCCUGCCUCAGCCCCCCUAGUAGCUGGGAUUACAGGCAAGCGCCACCACGCCCCGUUAAUUUUUGUAUUUUGUAUUUUUGUAAUUUUGUAUUUUUGUAUUUUGUAUUUACAGGGAUGUCGCCAUGUUACCAGGCUGAUCUUGAACUCCUGACCUCAGGUGAUCCACCUGCCUUGGCCUCCCAAAGCGUUGGGAUUACACGCUCGAGCCACCACACCUAGACCAGAUGUAGGUUUCUAAUAGCUUUCUACAUCCUGAAGGAAAACAGGCAGUGAGGGUGAAAGUUGCUUCAAAUUUUAGAAACUGUGAACAUUCUGUGGAAAUAAAUCCUUAUUAUUUGAGCCUCUUUUUGAAUUAAGGUGUCCAAACCCUUUUGAAUUAACAUAUGAUCCAGCAAUUUUACUUCUAGGUAUGUACACCAAAGAAUAGAAAACAGGGGCCAGGCGCGGUGGCUCACACCUGUAAUCCCAGCACUUUGGGAGGCCGAGGCAGGCAGAUCACUUGAGGUCAGGAGUUCAAGACCAGCCUGACCAACAUGGAGAAACCCCGUCUCUACUAAAAAAAAAAAAAAAAAAAAAAUUAUCUAUAUAUAUAUUUAUACAUAUAUAUAUAUAAAAUUAGCCAGGCAUGGUGGCGCAUACCUGUCAUCCCAGCUACUUGGGAGGCUGAGGCAGGAGAAUCACCUGAACCCAGGAGGCAGAGGUUGUGGUGAGCUGAGAUUGCGCCUUUGCAGUCCAGACUGCGCAACAAGAGCGAAACUCAGUCUCAAAAAAAAAAAAAAGGAAAACAGAAACUUAAGCUGAUAUUUGCACACCAAUAGCAGCAUUAUUCCCAUAGACAAAAGGUGGAAACCAGCAAUGACCAUCUAAAAAUAAAUGGAUAGGCCGGGCGCCGUGGCUCAGCACUUUGGGAGGCUGAGGCAGGAGGAUCACUUGAGGUCAGGAGCUUGAGACCAGCCUGGCCAACAUGGUGAAACCCUGUCUCUACUAAAAAUACAAAAAUUAGCCAGGAUUGGUGGCACGCACCUGUAAUCCCAGUUAGUUACUCGGGAGGCUGAGACAGGAGAACUGCUUGAACCCCAGAGGCGGAGGUUGCAUGGGCUGAGAUUGAGUCUAUGUACUCCAGCUUGGGCAACAGAGCGAGACUCCCCCUCAAAAAAAAAAAAAAAAAGGAUAAACAGUUGGUCCGGGCGGCAGCUCAUGCCUAUAGUCCCAGCACUUUGGGAGGCCAAGAUGGGAGGAUCACUUGGGCCCAGGAGUUCGAGACCAGCCUGGGCAACAUGGUGAGAUCCUGUCUGUACGAAAAAUACAGAAAGUAUCCAGCUGAAGUGGGAGGAGGAUCACUUGAGGCCUGGAAGCAGAGGUUGAAGUGAGCUGAGAUCGCGCCACUGCAUUCCAGCCUGGGCGACAGAGCCAAAAGCUGUCUCAAAAAAGAAUGAAUGGGACCGGGCGCGGUGGCUCACGGCUGUAAUCCCAGCACUUUGGGAAACCAAGGCGGGUGGAUCACCUGAGGCCAGGAGUUCAAGACCAGCCUGACCAACAUGGUGAAACCCCGUGUCUACUAAAAAUAAUCCCAGCUCCUCGGGAGGCUGAGGCAGGAGAAUCGCUUGAACCUGGGAGGCGGAGGUUGAUCUCGCCAUUGCGCUCCAGCCUGGGCAACAAAAGCAAAACUUCGUCUCAAAAAAAAAAAUAGACAAGAAUAAAUGGGCUGGGUGAAGUGGCUCACACCUGUAAUUCCAGCACUUUGGGAGGCCGAGGCAGGCAGAUCACGUGAGGUCAGGAGUUUGAGACCAGCCUGGCCAACAUGGUGAAAUCCUGUCUCUACUAAAAAUACAAAGAGUGGUGGCAUGCAUCUGUAAUCCCAGCUACUUGAGAGAUGGAGGCAGGAGAAUCGCUUGAAUCCGGGAGGCAGUGGUUGCAAUGAGCCGAGAUCAUGCCACUGCACUCCAGCCUGGGCAACAAGAGCAAAAACUCCAUCUCAAAAAAAAAAAAAGAUAACAUCUCAUACAGUGAAAUAUUAUUCAGCCAUAAAAUUAAUGAAUUCCUGAUAUAUACUACAACAUGGAUGAACCUUAAAAACAUUAUUCUGAAUGAAAUAAGACUGACCUCAAGGACAAAUAUUGUAUGAUUCCAUUUAUAUAUAUAUAAAGUACUCACAAAGUCAUAGAGAUAGAAAGUAGAAAAGAGGUUGCCACGGGGGCUGGAGGAGAAGGGAACAGGGAGUAAGGGUUUAAUGGGUACAGAGUCUCAGUUUCCACCCUUGGGCAUGAAAGAUAAAGUUCUGGAGGUAAGUAGUGAUGAUGGUUACACAACAAUGUGAACAUAUUCUAUGCCAGUGAAUUUACACUUAAGGUUAAAAUGGUAAAUUUUAUGUAUACUUUGGCAUAAUUUAAAAAAAAGUUUGAAAAAGAAAAAAGACAAAACAAUAAUCGUCUUUGGAGAAGUCUGUUACACUGAAUCUGGAGCCAAGUGAACAGAACCCUGAUUUUGAUCCCUUUUCUCUCAAAAGCCCUUCGCAGUCUCUGAAUUAAGUCUAUUAGCAUGUUCCUCCCAUAGUGCUUUGCUUCAUAUCAACAAAAACCUAGCUAAGUGAAAUCAGCAACGAUAUGCAGAAACCACCUACGCAGGUCACAAACAUCUUUCUAUGAUUGUAUAAUUUUCAAGCAAGCAAUAAGUGAAGAUUUUUCCAUAGGCCCUAAACUCACCUUUGCGAAAUAGGAAGCUGGUUUAUUGGGAGUGAUGAGCAGGGGGCGUAACAAAUUAGCUUUGCGCAGUGGCAGUAUCGUAGCCAAUGAGGUCUAUCCGAGGCGCGAUUAUUGCUAAUUGAAAACUUUUCCCAAUACCCCGCCGUGACGACUUGCAAUAUAGUCGGCACUGGCAAUUUUUGACAGUCUCUACGGAGACUGAAUUUUCUUGCAGUUGAACAACAGAGGCUUUUUUUGUGUGUGUGGGGGUGCUUGGUUUUGGGAGGUUGAAGAGUACUUGUUCGCAAACUCUCUAAAUGAGAGAUGGGGAAGUGUCUUACCAGCUGAUUCGCGAGAGCACCUGCAAGUUUACCUGUUUUAGUGAUUUGCGUUUAUGAAAGUUGGAGUUGCUGAUUUUGUGAUCUCUACUUUUAAGGUAAAAGCAGGGCGGUGUUGACUUUUCUUGCCAGUUGGCUGUCCUGUUUUCUUUCUCGCACUGUUUUCUUUUUGAGACGAAGUCUGUCGCUCAGGCUGGAGUGCACUGGCGUGAUCUCGGCUCGCUGCAAACUUUGCCGAACCCCUGUUUAGCGAUUUCCGUUUGUGAAAGUUGGAGUUGCUGAUUUUGUGAUCUCUACUUUUAAGGUAAAUGCAGGGCGGUGUUGACUUUUCUUGCCAGCUGGCUGUCCUGUUUUCUUUCUCUCGCACUGUUGUUUUCUUUUUGAGACGAAGUCUGUCGCUCAGGCUGGAGUGCACUGGCGCGAUCUCGGCUCGCUGCAAACUGCCGCCCGGGUUCAAGCGAUUCUCGUGCCUCAGCCUCCCGACUAGCUGGGAUUACAGGCGCCUGCCCACCGCACCCCGCUGAUUUUUUUGUAUUUUUAGUAGCGACCCCGUUUCACCAUCUUGUCCAGGCUGGUCUUGAACUCCUGACCUCGUGAUCCACCCGCCUCGGCCUCCCAGAGUGCUGGGAUUACAGGCGUGAGCCACCGCGCCCAGCCGUGUUCUCCAUUCAGAUUUUGUCACAGUGACGUCCUAAAAUUAUUCCCAACUCCCCCCACCCUGCUGUUUCCGCACCCUCGAGCACAGCUAGUCGUCCGUCUGCGCCCUCCAGGCUCGCUUUCCCACUGCUCACUCUCCUCGCUCAAAAUUCAAGUCUCAACCGAGUCAUCUCUGUGACGUCACGUUGAUUUGCAUAAGAUUCCCCAGCGUCCCAAGCGAAUAUUCUUAUGGUUUUCAAAACCUGAAUGUUUGACACGGGAUGUUCCAACAACAAGAAACCUCCUAUGCAGAUGGGCCUUAAAUACGGCUGGUGGAGUGGGAACACGUCGUAUACACGGACACACGGGCAGGCACUCACCCUCAAUGUAAUGGUAGUCAUCAUCCGUGGGGGAGCGGGGCGCGAACAGAACCUUUCCAGCUUUGCGCAGUGGCAGUAUCGUAGCCAAUGAGGUUUAUCCGAGGCGCGAUUAUUGCUAAUUGAAAACUUUUCCCAAUACCCCGCCAUGACGACUUGAAAUAUAGUCGGCAUUGGCAAUUUUUGACAGUCUCUACGGAGACUGAAUUUUUAAAAGUCUAAAGAAAAGGGUUUUAGGAAGUUGUAUUAUAGCAGGUUGUGUCUUAUGUUUGGUUUGAUAAGUUAUGAGCUGUUCCUAUGAUAGUUUUUUGGUUGUUGUUCAGGAGUAUUCCGUGAUUGAAUGUCCGGGGUUCUGUGCGGGUACUGUGAGUUGUUUUCCAAAAUGUAUGACACUAUGUUGGGAACUGGGUUCUAACUAAGACAGUUAUCGUUAAUCUUUUUUAUCCAAAUGCAGCCAGCGAGUGAGCUACUCCACUUCCUUUGUCACUGAAGGUCACAGAUUCCCUUAAAGGGAAGGGGAACUCUAAAACUAACACAUUAAUACAUCCAAAGUCUUCCUUUUUUUUUUUUUUUUUUUUUUUGAGACGGAGUUUUCGCUGUUUCCCAGGCUGGGGUACAGUGGCGCGAUCUCGGCUGACUGCAACCUCCACAUUCCGGGUUCAAGCGAUUCUCUGUCUCAGCCUCCGGAGUAGCUGGGAUUACGGGAGCCCAACAUCACGCCCGGCUCAUUUUUGUAUUUUUAGUGGAGACGGGGUUUCGCCUUCUUGGCCAGGCUGGUUUCAAACUCCUGACCUCAGGUGAUCCGCCUACCUCGGCCUUCCGAAGUGCUGGGAUUACAGGUGUGAACCACCGCGUUUUCUUCCUUUUAAAGCGACCAAGAGGGAAAAAGGCACAGAAGAUUGCUCAGGUCCUACUGUGGAGUCCUCGGCAGAGCUGGGGCUUAUCAGGUUCUCUUGCCCCUAGUGUGGUACUUGUUCCCACUACACCAGCCUCUUCCAGUCUUACCUUUUUACGAAGACCUGGGCUGUCCAUGGACAGAGGUCCUCAGGAGUCACAACUCUGGGCAUGGCGGAUCCAGCUGGACCUGCUUAGGACACCGCCCAUAAAAGACUCCUCCAGCCUGUAGCAAAAAGAGGUGGCAAAAAGGGUGGCAACAGUACCUACAAGGUCAAAGACGGUGCUGGGAAAAACAGCUCCAGUGGCAAAUUAAACUCAGUCCCCAGUUCAAGGACCUCACAGACUGGAGACGUGGAGGCGAAGGUAGCAGUGAGCUGAAAUUGCGCCACUGCACUCCAGCCUGGGUGACAGUGAGACUCUGUCUCAAAAAAAAAGAAAAAAGAAAGAAGAAGAAGCCGGGAGCGGUGGCCCACGCCUGUCAUCCCAGCACUUUGGGAGGCCAGGGCGGGCAGAUCACGAGGUCAGGAGUUCAAGACCAGCCUGGCCAACAUGGUGAAACCCUAUCUCUACUAAAAAUACAAAAAAAAAAAAAAAAAAAAAAAAUUAGCCAGCCAUGGUCGUGGGCGCCUGUAAUCCCAGCUACUCGGGAGGC